This is a non-coding RNA of Myodes glareolus (Bank vole), 1378 nucleotides long. Lineage: Eukaryota; Metazoa; Chordata; Mammalia; Rodentia; Cricetidae. The record is from RefSeq and is a predicted model, not a curated record.
UAAUUCCAUCCAGGCUACUUGUCUCACCCUGCCUUCCCAAGGAGGCGGUCCCCAAAAGAAGCCAUUAGAACUAAUUAACAAUUACCACUACUAUACUACUACACCUCACAGGGGAAAGGUGCAGCCAUUCUCCCUAGAGAGACACUGGGCCCUGAGGAGUUGGCUGACUCUCCUAAGGACAGUGGGCUCUUCCAAGCUGCCCUGGUGGGGUGUAUCCAGCCUCCCAACUCUCAGAAAUGACACAUCUCCCUACUAGUACUAAGUAAACAGGGCAGGAAGUCGCGUUUGGGUGGUAUUUUUCUGGGCACUAGCCCACGGCAGCUGGAGAGCCAUCUCAUGUCUGUCCACAACCCUAGAUUCCCGCCCUCUGUUUUGACUGUCUGUGCCUCCUGUCUUUGCCUCCCUUCUUCCUUAGCUCCUGCCUUUCACCCACCUUCCUUUCCUAGCUCUGAAUCAUAGCUGUCAGACCUGCUAGCAUGGCCAGGCUGCGAGCCAGGGGCCUGCCCUUGUGUACAAAGGAGGCUGGGAGCUGGAGAAAGGAGGGAAGUGGUGAGGGUCCUGGCCAGACUGAGGAAGGCUGGUUCCUUUCCUCACGCCCACUGGGACCUGACCAUCUAUGCAGAUGGCCACAGCCAGGCCUGUUAUUAUUGGAGAAUAGCCCAUCUGGCAAGCUCCCUGCCUGGGUUCCAGCCAGCACCCACACCCCAGGCAGCCUCAGCUGGUCACUGGUGCCAGGGCCCUCUGCUGGACAGCCCUGGGGACCCAGCUCAUACAGGCCUGGGCCUGGACAGGUUCUUAGGCAGGUCUACCAGGCCUUUCCACCUUCCUCAUUCCAUGUUUCUCUCCUCUGUCCCUAAGGUUGGGAUGUGAAGGUUGGUCCACCUGGCCAGAUGUUCUCCGCCCAGGCUGGAACAGGCUCAUCUCCACCUCCCCCAUUAGAAGAAAAACAUAUCCUUCCUGAAGAGGCGGUAGAUUUGGAUUCUGCUGAACUACAUCCUCCUCAAAGGGCCCGCUGGCCGCGACACCGCAGAACCCUGCAGUCCCGGUCUCAUGUGCUCUAGUUUCUGCGGACUUUUGUAGGAAGUAUCUGGAGGAGAGAAAAGUUCUGCAGGGUCUGGCAGGUGGGGUGGGAGCGGGAAGUUGGAGCUCAGCUUGGAUGUCAUCCCUUUCCCAGUUUCUAUAGGAACCUGUAGGGGGAUCCCCAACUUGAUUGGGGAUCGCGACAGAGGCCUGCAUUCCUCACUAUCUACAUUUUAACCUACAGCCCAAGACAUUCCUGAAAGAAUUAUUGUGUGGGAAUCAUAAUCAAAUUAUCCAGAGGAUCUUACUACACAUGCCCAUCCAUGUAUGCACUCACACACACACACACACACACACA